ACCAGCUGAAUUGGACUUGUUUCCUGCUGUGGAAGUCAGAUGAAGAGGCUGAAAACUUGGGGCAGCUACUCACAAAGAACUCUUCCAAUUCAGGACACACGAUAUCAAAAGUAGCACUUUCAUAGUACAACAAUGGAAGUUCCACCAAAAGUAAUCGCUUCAAUUCUGGAAGGACGGUCUUCUUGUUGCUUGCUUCAACUAUCCUUUCCAACAAGGGGCAUCUCUCUAAUUCUAAGGAAUUCAACUGAGAAAGACACUGAGCAACAUCAGAGGUGAAGAGACUUCCCCGCAACUGCUUGCAACGAUGAAUGGACAAACUUCGAAGAUUCUGGAGCAUCGCAGGAGGAGCAGGUCCCUCACAUAUGCUUACUGUUGCUAGAUCAUACAAUUUUAUCUUUUUCAACUUUAAUUGUCGCAACACAAGCAAGGCUUCAUACCCAAACAUAAAUUCACUCCCGUCCGUCCGAUGAACAAUUAAUUUUUCCAAAUUUGGUAGUCUAUGUAACAAUGUUGAUGGUAAAAUCAUAUUCCACCAGUUGUAACAAUCUUUUACUUUCAAUACCUUUAACUUGAAUAGAGAUCCAGGUGGUAGAAAUUGAACGGCACACAACUCUGCACAAUCCAGUUCAGCCAGAUACAACUCUUCCAAAUUCUCGAACACAGGCUUUUUUGGAACCCAUGUUAUUGCAGGAUCCACCUCCGUGAUGUCUUGAUCGUAGGAACCCACUAUAUGCAGAUGCUUCAGUCUCUGUAACCUCCCAUUCUCAGAUUCCACAAAUAUGUCGAUUAACCUUUGGCACCAAGAGUGGUAAAGCGUCUCCGCAUUCUCUAUUAUCUCGUCACGAAACCACUCCGGUAAGUGACUGAUCAUGACAAACAAGAGUAUUGAGAUAUGACGAUGUCGAUCAUAUAACUUCGUCUUGUAUGGCUCGUAUAAACCAGGCUCAUAUGAACCACCAAUACAUAUAUCAAACUCAACCAAAUUCAUUUUCAACUCAACAUAUUUAGGGAUAUAUUCAUCACCCAUGAUAGUAACCUUCAAAACUCUUAAUUUUGACAAGCUAGUUACCUCGUCAAAGCUAGCAUUAGUAAAGGUAUCAUUGACUUCCCCUCGUCUGUAAGGCCACAAGCGUUCCCACUCCCAAAAUCCUUGCAUAUACAGUUCUUCUAAAUCAUGCAACUUUGAUAUCAGUUUGGAAGGAAUUCUAGAAAUAUGUUCACCAGUAAUAUCCAACAUCCUCAGAUUGGUCAAACCUCCUAUUUCUACCGACAACUCAUACAGACGUGAAUUUCUCAUACUCAGAAUCUCAAGCUUUUUAAGUUUUCCCAGUAUGGAAGUGUCAAUUCUUAGAUGGGUACAAUCAUCUAAAUACAAAGCUGUGAGGUUGGUUAGGACACCGAAUGAUUUGGGCAGUAAUGAAAGGCUAGUCAAGCUAAGAUCUAAUACCCUUAAUUCAUUUGGACAUUGGAAGAAUGUUUCUGGUAUGUUUUCUAAAGAGAAAUUACGGUUUAGUAACAAGAUCUGGAGUUUUGGACAUACCAGAUUUUUGGGAAGCUUGCUAAUAUAAUUCCUCAUUAGUGAGAUUGCAAGGUAGCCUUUAUGUAAUUUACGUGGCAAAUCCUCUAAACCACAGCCGGCUUUCACAAAAAACUCAUCUUCAGAUUGCACAAUUUGAAUGGCUGCAUCCCGGACAACAUCAUGCAUCCUUACACAUCUAUCUUCUUCACUAUCCAAAAGCAAGCAAGAAUAUUUAAGAUGCUUGAUAACGGAAUCAGCUUGCUCUCUUGCCUCCAUGAGUGUUUCGGCAUCUCGAAACAAUCUUGUCCUGAUCCCAUACCUGAACAAGUCUUCUAUAGGGAUGUCAUAGUCUUCUGGGAAUAAGCAACAGAGCAAGAAGUAUGACCUGUAGUCCUCAUCUUCCAAGUAAUCAUAGCUUAAUUUUAUACAUUUAGAUGCUUCUCCCUUAUCAUCAGGGUUGGCAGUUUGCGACUUCUCUAGUCGCUGAGCUGCUCUCCUCCAAUCCACCAAGUCUUUGUCUCCGAGUGCCCUUGCAACUGUUAUCAAUGCAAUCGGUAAGCCCCUACAUUCUCCGGCUACCUUCUUUGCCACACCCUCGAAAGUGGGGGAUUCAAAAUACCUUCUUGCUUUUCUCACAAACAAGACCCAAGAAUCUUGUUCUGAGAGAACGUUGAGGAUGAUCUUUCUUUGGCACUCCAUGGCAUGACAAACAUUCCUUAUCCUUGUGGUGAGUAGGAUUUUGGAAUUGCAAUUUUGAAGUUCCUUGUAGCUUGGAAUUCCUAUUCUUGAUAAUUCUGUUCUCUCCCAAAUGUCGUCCAGGAUUAUAAGAAUCCUUUGUCUUCUCCUUAUCUCCUUACUCAAUCUAGCUGCUCUUCCAAUUUCUGUAUCCUCCUCAAAUUUGAAGCUCAAUAGUUCUGACAAUGUGCCUUGAAUUUUUGCCAAGUCAGGCGUUUGGGAUAGGACACCCAUAAUCACAUGAUCAAAAAUUCCACUUUUCCGGGCAUGUGCGCCAACAUGUUCCACCAAGGUUGUCUUGCCCACACCUCCCAUGCCGUAGACACCAACAGCAGUGACCUCGUCAUCUUUAAGGGCCUUCAUAACCUCAUCCAUGGCUAUUCUUGUUGCUUCAAAUGCUUGGAAAUCUCUAGUGGACUCAAUUGCAUCAGGUACAAUUUUACUGCUGAGAAGUUUCACAAUGGCUUCGGUAAGUGCUCUCUCAGUUCUACAAGGAUGAAUUACGGAUUAGAAUUUAGAAAUAAUCUUUGGGUAAAAUAUAUAUCUGAAAUUAAAGGGGCAAUGCUUACUUAUGAUCAGUUGUAUUCCACCCAGAGAUAUUGGCUACUUUGUUCAAGGCAGCUUUCCACUCCUUCACCUUUUCCAUUCUGUGCUGCCCAGAGGUUUCAUGCUUAUAGAAAGCUUCUUUGAAACUUCCCUUCUUCUGAUAUCGAACAUCAGUAGGAUCAACAUGAUAAAAAAGUGGCAAAAUUCUGUUGUCUUCCAUGGACAGACAAAUCUCUCUAAGUUCCUCCAAACACCAAGCAGAAGAAGCGUAAUUUUGGGAGAGAACAACAAUUGCAUACCUUGACCCUUUAAUUGCUGCUAUGAGAGUGGGAGAAAUGGAAUCUCCGACUACAAGAUCUGGAUCAUCCAUGAAUGCUUUAAUGCCUCCCCGAUUGAGUCCAUCGUAUAUGUCGACUGUGAUCCCCUUGCGAGUGUCAGAACCCCUGAAACUCAAAAAAACAUCAUACUUCCAUUCAACAGGUGAUGAUGAAGAAGGAAGAGAUGCAGAAGCAUCCAUGUCCACCAAUACUUGAUUAUCCUGGGAAUUUUCGACCAUGUAACUGAACCGACGCUUCACUUGAGUCCAUAUCCACUUAAUAAUGGCUAUGCAACCGAUCCUCGCCUCCGCCAUGGCUUCGAAUUCUGGAAAACAGUAUGAAAUUAAGAACCUUCCUUGAGACAGCAACAAGGGGAAAGAACAAGGUCUCUCAGAGUACAGGCAGGGAAAAGGAAACCGCAAAAGCCAUAUGAAAAACCAAUGAAACGGAUGAACUGAAGACAAAAUGGAAUCUGAAGUAUGAACUGAACAUCAUGAAGUCAGUCUGAUAGAGUUUAGACGUCUAACUAGUGAGCUGUGGUGGUUAUUUGACAACCAGAGUGCUUGGCAAUUGGCAUGGGCCCUUUUACUUCUCAAGUCCGACCCGGAUGGCGCAAUUCUUAACCCGACCCGGACCCAAGAAACAGGGCAAAACAGAGAAGCGCCACUACCGCAGCUGAGACAGAAACAGAGAAUGGCCACCACAGCUAUCAACUUGGGCCUCGUAAAGCCUUCACCUUUCUCUGUUCCCAAGUCACAAUCCCCUUCAAAGCUCAGGGUUUUCACUCUCCGGUGCUCCUCCGCCACCGCCAAUGCCGUCUCAGGUAUACCCACUUUUGGUACUCUGCUUUUAUUGGUCUAUCUAGCACUCGUAAAGAUUCAAUUUUUAUAUGAUGGUGGUUUCCAAUUUACUGUGAGGUUAAUUUAUUGGUGAUUAGAGUGACGAGAAAACCGAUUGGCUGCCAUGCAAAAUUGAUGUUGGUUUUGUUUUUUUUGGGCUCAGUGCCUUCUUAUUUAUUCAGCUGCAGUCUUAUAUUCUCAUGUAUAUAUCCUGCAGUGUUAUAUUUACAAUAAGACUUACAGAUGUCUGAAGAAGAAGAAACUGUUUGUAACAAUUUUGAGAAUAGUACUUUAACAUCUUUCUCGCGUCACAGUCUGUAGCCAUACACUUGCAAAGUUACUUAUCCAUUGUAUCGUAAUUGAGUUUGUUUCAAUCAAUAUGGUUCAUACAUUUUUGUGUUAUGGAGUUCAGUUUUUGAUUAAUCUACAUCACAAAAAGAUCACAUAAGAUUUGGCAUCUUUAUUUUGAUCAUCUUCAUGUAAAUGGAAUUGUUUUUCUUUCAAGGAUGAAUUUGAAAAGCAGUCUUUCAUAGUUUCCAUAGAAAGACUCAUUGUAUUCAUCUUCAUCCUUCAUAGCAUCCUCGAUAGUUUCUUUUGACUUACAAGCUUGGUUUUUAGUCACAUCCCUUUUCAUUACCAACUUCUGUGCUUAUCUGUUUUAACCAGAUAGUAGGAAUGGUAUAUGUUUUUGGGUUUUGGCCAUAUAUGCCUUCACCUCAUGCCUAACCUCACUGCUCUUCUCCCCUUGCACACAAACUUCAACCUGCUCCUCCAUGUACUUGGGCAUUCUGAGACCUUACAAUCUUCGGGAGAACUUACAAUCUCAAACAACUAUGCGAAUAAGUAAAUGCAUAUUAUGAACGCUCAUAUCAAAAUCGAGAAAUUUACACUAGGAAUAUCAAUUACAUCUGUUUUUUCUUGUUAUCAAAUCAACAAUGGAUAAAGAUGCACGUCUGAAAGAUGCAGAGCCACGAAGAAGAUACAAAGAGACAAUGAAAAGUUAUAAAUUUAUUAUCCACAAGAGUGUUAUACAACUUCACAAUCAAAUGCGGGAUAUUCUUCUGGGCCACGGAAGGUCUCUAUGCGUUUUAUUGAUUGCAAUUAGUCCCCUUAGACUAAUCCGCGCCGAGAGAUCUUGUCAGAACGCUUCCUCGCCUCUGGCCACCAAGAAUAAAUUGGGAUUUAACUCUAAUUAGCUUCAGCUGGAAUUUGAAUGUUUCCACACCUAGGCUCUUAUCAACUCGGCCUCCUGUGGUGAUUAAUCAAUUCAAGAUAUAUAUAUAAGUAUAUAAGACGGAAAUGCAAUGCAUAUCCAAAGUCUCAAAUUCUUGUUAACAAGACAUCCUUCAAUCUAUUUGGAAAAGGAAACAAAUUAGCUGGGAGCAGAAAUCUAUAAGUAAAGGUAAACUAUAAUGCAACAGCAAAGGAAAUAACUUAAAAUACAAUAUAAAUUGCUUAAUAUACAGUGUGGUGCAAAUCAGAAGAACCCUGUGCUCAAAUUUUCUUCAAACUGUAUCUAACUUUUUUUUCAUUUAAUUUGUAGUUUGUUAAGGAGAGAUAUUAAACGCAUUUUGUGCUCAAAACAUUUAACAUUUUGUAUUUGUUUACUGUUUAUUGGGUGAGCAAUCGGACUACCACAUUAAUUCAUACGAAAAAUCACGUAAAGUAUUUGACACACUAACAUACCAUAUGAAUUGGACUUGUUUCCUGCUGUGGAAGUCAGAUGAAGAGGCUGAAAACUUGGGGCAGCUACUCACAAAGAACUCUUCCAAUUCAGGACACACAAUAUCAAAAGUAUCACUUUCAUAGUACAACAUUGGAAGUACCUCCAAAUGUAAUCGCUUCAAUUUUGGAAGGACGGUCUUCUUGUUGCUUGCUUCAACUAUCCUUUCCAACAGAGGGCAAUUCUUGAAUUUUAAGGAAUUCAGUUGGGAAAGACACUGAGCAACAUCAUAGGUGAAGAGACUUCCAUCUGACUUGCACCACUCUAUGGACAAACUUUGAAGAUUCUGGAACAUUGCAGGUGGGAGUCGAGAAGGUCCAUCACAUAUGCUAACUGUGGACAAUGCUAUCUUUCUCAGUCUCCAUUGUUCCCAUGGAAACCAACAACCCUUCAGAGACAUGUUCUCCAAUGAAGGACACUCAAUAUCAAAAGUAGCACUUUUGUAUAACAUUGGAAGUUCCGUCAAACUUAAUUGCUCCAACUUUGGAAGGAUUAUCUUCUUGUUGCUUGCUUCAACUAUCCUUUCCAACAAGGGGCAUACUGCUAAUUCUAAGGAAUUCAACUGAAAAAGACACUGAGCAACAUCAGAGGUGAAGAGACUUCCCUCCAACUUGCAUUUGGUAAUGGACAAACUUUGAAGAUUCUGGAGCAUCGCAGGCGGAGCAGGUCCCUCACAUAUGCUUACUGUUGCUAGAGCAAACAAUUCUAUCUUUUUCAACUUUAAUUGUUGCAACACAAGCAAGGCUUCAUACCCAAACAUAUAUUCACUCCCGUCCGUCUGACAAACAAUUAAUACUUCCAAAUUUGGUAGUCUAUGUAACAAUGUUGACGGUAAAAGUAUAUUCCACCAGUUGUAACAAUAUUCUACCUUCAAUACCUUCAACUUGAAUAGAGACCCACAUGGUAGAAAUUGAACGGCACGUAACUCUGCACAAUCCAGUCCCUCCAUAUACAACUCUUCCAAAUUCUCGAACACAGGCUUUCUUGGAACCCAUGUUAUUGCAGGAUCCACCUCCGUGAUGUCUCGACUGCUGUAACCCACUAUAUGCAGAUGCUUCAGUCUCUGUAGCCUCCCAUGCUCAGAUUCCACAAAUAUGUCGAUUAACCUGUGGCACCAAGAGUCGGAAAAUGUCUCUGCUUUCUUCAUUAUCUCGUCACGAAACCACUCCGGUAAGUGACUGAUCAUGACAUCCAAGAGUAUUGAGAUAUGACGAUGUCGAUCAUAUAACUUCGUCUUGUAUGGCUCGUAUAAACCACCGAUACAUAUAUCAAACUCAACCAAAUUCAUUUUCUGCUCAACAUAUUUAGGGAUAUGUUCAACACCCCUGAUAGUAACCUUCAAAACUCUUAAUUUUGACAAGCUAGUUACCUCGUCAAAGCUAGCAUUAGUAAAGGUAUCAUUGACUUCUCCUUCUUCUCCCUCAGCGUUAAGCUCCAAGCACUCCCACUCCCAAAAUCCUUGCAUAGUUACCUCGUCAAAGCUAGCAUUAGUAAAGGUAUCAUUAACUUCUCC
This 7192-nucleotide long non-coding RNA is filed under the name Fragaria vesca (wild strawberry). RNAcentral describes it as "long non-coding RNA (FVES_LNC001625)". The record is from RNAcentral. Lineage: Eukaryota; Viridiplantae; Streptophyta; Magnoliopsida; Rosales; Rosaceae.